RNAcentral lists this ribosomal RNA (247 nucleotides) under uncultured Oscillospiraceae bacterium. RNAcentral describes it as "partial 16S ribosomal RNA". It matches the Rfam family "Bacterial small subunit ribosomal RNA", at positions 796 to 1041 of the family's 1533-position model. The record is from RNAcentral. Lineage: Bacteria; Bacillati; Bacillota; Clostridia; Eubacteriales; Oscillospiraceae.
CACGCCGUAAACGAUGAUUACUGGGUGUAGGGGGUAUCGACUCCCUCUGUGCCGAAGCAAACGCGAUAAGUAAUCCACCUGGGGAGUACGGCCGCAAGGCUAAAACUCAAAGGAAUUGACGGGGGCCCGCACAAGCAGUGGAGUAUGUGGUUUAAUUCGAGGCAACGCGAAGAACCUUACCAGGGUUUGACAUCCCGCGCUCGGGGUAGAGAUACCCUUUUCCCUUCGGGGACGCGGAGACAGGUGG